Molecule: ribosomal RNA, 253 nt
Filed under: uncultured bacterium
Lineage: Bacteria
Description: partial 16S ribosomal RNA
Rfam family: Bacterial small subunit ribosomal RNA
Source: RNAcentral
UACGAAGGGGGCUAGCGUUGCUCGGAAUCACUGGGCGUAAAGCGCACGUAGGCGGCUUCUUAAGUCAGGGGUGAAAUCCUGGAGCUCAACUCCAGAACUGCCUUUGAUACUGAGUAGCUUGAGUCCGGGAGAGGUGAGUGGAACUGCGAGUGUAGAGGUGAAAUUCGUAGAUAUUCGCAAGAACACCAGUGGCGAAGGCGGCUCACUGGCCCGGUACUGACGCUGAGGUGCGAAAGCGUGGGGAUCAAACAGG